This is a long non-coding RNA of Gasterosteus aculeatus aculeatus (three-spined stickleback), 502 nucleotides long. Lineage: Eukaryota; Metazoa; Chordata; Actinopteri; Perciformes; Gasterosteidae. The record is from Ensembl.
GAGACACACCUGGACCUCAUCCCCUCAUCACGGGGGUUACAAAAGGCCAGGAGGACACGGAGAGGAGCAGUGUUGGUGCGCCCAUAGCUCUCCAGGGUGGAGAAGAUUCCACGAGCCUUCAUCCUCCAGUUCUACUUUUUCACCUCACUAACUCUCCAUAGACUCUUUCUGCAUGUACGUGUCUACCUGCACAGCAGACGCCUCUACCUCACCCAAGAGCUCCCUUCUGGUGGCAAAGCACAGCUGGACAAGACCGCAGAGAAUCCAGGGGAGGAAAAAAAACAAACAGAAUCCACACACAUCGGCCCAGGAGCAGAGCUUUUCCUCGCUGACACCACAGUGCCGGACACCCAGGCCCCGCUGCCGGACACCCAGGCCCCGCUGCCGAAGACCCAGGCCCCGCUGCCGAAGACCCAGGCCCCGCUGCCGGAGACCCAGGCCCCGCUGCCGAAGACCCGCCGGAGACCCAGGCCCCGCUGCCGGACACCCAGGCCCCGCUGCC